RNAcentral lists this ribosomal RNA (380 nucleotides) under uncultured bacterium. RNAcentral describes it as "bacterial SSU rRNA". It matches the Rfam family "Bacterial small subunit ribosomal RNA", at positions 29 to 424 of the family's 1533-position model. The record is from RNAcentral.
AACGAACGCUGGCGGCAGGCCUAACACAUGCAAGUCGAACGCCGUAGCAAUACGGAGUGGCAGACGGGUGAGUAACGCGUGGGAACAUACCCCUCGGUUCGGAAUAACUCAGGGAAACUUGAGCUAAUACCGGAUACGUCCGAGGUUUUGAUCGACCUUGGAGAAAGAUUUAUCGCCGAAGGAUUGGCCCGCGUCUGAUUAGCUUGUUGGUGAGGUAAUGGCUCACCAAGGCGACGAUCAGUAGCUGGUCUGAGAGGAUGAUCAGCCACAUUGGGACUGAGACACGGCCCAAACUCCUACGGGAGGCAGCAGUGGGGAAUAUUGGACAAUGGGCGAAAGCCUGAUCCAGCCAUGCCGCGUGAGUGAUGAAGGCCUCGGUU